Molecule: ribosomal RNA, 245 nt
Filed under: uncultured bacterium
Lineage: Bacteria
Description: partial 16S ribosomal RNA
Rfam family: Bacterial small subunit ribosomal RNA
Source: RNAcentral
UACGUAGGAGGCGAGCGUUGUCCGGAUUUACUGGGCGUAAAGAGCGCGUAGGCGGUUCGUUGAGUCUUGCGUGAAAUCUCCCGGCUCAACUGGGAGGGUGCGCGAGAUACUGGCGGACUGGAGGGCAUCAGAGGAAAGCGGAACUCCCGGUGUAGUGGUGAAAUGCGUAGAUAUCGGGAAGAACACCAGUGGCGAAGGCGGCUUUCUGGGGUGUACCUGACGCUGAGGCGCGAAAGCGUGGGGAG